CUGAAAGAGUUAUUUAAAAACACGUUUCUAAACGGGAAAUCAUGUGAGGAUCAUUGCAUUCUACAGCACUCCAACAGGAUAUGUGUCAUCACACUUGCGGAGUCUCAUCCUAUCCUUCAGAACGGAUGAAAAAUCAAAAACAUAAACUUCCAGAUCAGUGAUGGAUGCAGUCGUCUGAAGAACAAGGUGUCUGGAAAGUCAAAGCGAUAAGGAUCAUUAAUCUGUAGGGUGGUCAGUCCCUGACAGAGUUUGCUCCACUGUGUAGAAUAACGUGCACAGAUGAACAGGAGUACACUGUAUUCAGCUGCAUCCGAGGACGUCUCCUAGAAGUAAAUGAAGGCAUUCUGAACAAGCCAGAUCUGUUAUUAGAAAAGAUGACUUACAGUACAGCUUAAAAAAUAAAACGGAAAAUCUCCUUUUAACCUUUAAGACCACAUUUGAA
Cyprinus carpio (common carp) is the source of this 442-nucleotide long non-coding RNA. RefSeq lists it as uncharacterized. NCBI's taxonomy places the organism in Eukaryota, Metazoa, Chordata, Actinopteri, Cypriniformes, Cyprinidae. The record is from RefSeq and is a predicted model, not a curated record. The transcript has 4 exons.